GGAAAUAAAACACGAACUAUGUAUAUCGAAAUAUUUUCAAAUGACCUAUGUGUAAAUAUAUUCAGAUGUUGGACUUGCCGAAUUUUAUGAACUAUAUAUGUGGUGAUGGUUACAAAAAAAAAACUUAACAAUGGAACUACUGGAUUUACAAUAGCAUAAAUGAAGAAGGAUUAUCGUAUUUUCCGAACUUUCGUUCUUAUUGCGAGGGAAGGAAUAAUGUUACACAAUUGGUAACAUUAAUUAAUUAUCAAGGAGUAUUAAUAGGGAAAUUUAUUAAAAAGGAAAUAAACAAUUCAAUGACAAUCAUGUAUGCUUUGGACACUAAUAACCAUCUGUGAAUACAUUAAAUAGCAGAAAGCCUUUGGACACUAAUAACAAUCUGUGAAUACAUUAAAUAGCAUGAAGC
RNAcentral lists this long non-coding RNA (406 nucleotides) under Mytilus galloprovincialis (Mediterranean mussel). The record is from RNAcentral. Lineage: Eukaryota; Metazoa; Mollusca; Bivalvia; Mytilida; Mytilidae.